UGAUCAUCAAGCGGAUCGAAUUUACCCUCUCAAGGCUGAAACAGGGGUUCGAUUCCCCUAGGGAGCGCCA
This 70-nucleotide transfer RNA is filed under the name Bradyrhizobium liaoningense. Its description in RNAcentral is "tRNA-Glu". Lineage: Bacteria; Pseudomonadati; Pseudomonadota; Alphaproteobacteria; Hyphomicrobiales; Nitrobacteraceae. The record is from RNAcentral. RNAcentral also lists the same sequence under 1 other name.